ACCAUCCUUUUCUUGGGGUUGCGCUACUGUCCAAUGAGCGCAUAGUGAGGGCAGUACUGCUAACGCCUAAACAACACACCCGCAUCAACUAGAGCUUUGCUUUAUUUUGGUGCAAUUUUUGGAAAA
Molecule: small nuclear RNA, 126 nt
Organism: Nomascus leucogenys (northern white-cheeked gibbon)
Lineage: Eukaryota; Metazoa; Chordata; Mammalia; Primates; Hylobatidae
Source: Ensembl